Molecule: ribosomal RNA, 519 nt
Filed under: Aspergillus flavus
Lineage: Eukaryota; Fungi; Ascomycota; Eurotiomycetes; Eurotiales; Aspergillaceae
Description: eukaryotic LSU rRNA
Rfam family: 5.8S ribosomal RNA (bases 152-305)
Source: RNAcentral
CCCACCCGUGUUUACUGUACCUUAGUUGCUUCGGCGGGCCCGCCAUUCAUGGCCGCCGGGGGCUCUCAGCCCCGGGCCCGCGCCCGCCGGAGACACCACGAACUCUGUCUGAUCUAGUGAAGUCUGAGUUGAUUGUAUCGCAAUCAGUUAAAACUUUCAACAAUGGAUCUCUUGGUUCCGGCAUCGAUGAAGAACGCAGCGAAAUGCGAUAACUAGUGUGAAUUGCAGAAUUCCGUGAAUCAUCGAGUCUUUGAACGCACAUUGCGCCCCCUGGUAUUCCGGGGGGCAUGCCUGUCCGAGCGUCAUUGCUGCCCAUCAAGCACGGCUUGUGUGUUGGGUCGUCGUCCCCUCUCCGGGGGGGACGGGCCCCAAAGGCAGCGGCGGCACCGCGUCCGAUCCUCGAGCGUAUGGGGCUUUGUCACCCGCUCUGUAGGCCCGGCCGGCGCUUGCCGAACGCAAAUCAAUCUUUUUCCAGGUUGACCUCGGAUCAGGUAGGGAUACCCGCUGAACUUAAGCAUA